AGUCGAACGGUAACAGGUCUUCGGAUGCUGACGAGUGGCGAACGGGUGAGUAAUACAUCGGAACGUGCCCGAUCGUGGGGGAUAACGAGGCGAAAGCUUUGCUAAUACCGCAUACGAUCUACGGAUGAAAGCGGGGGAUCUUCGGACCUCGCGCGGACGGAGCGGCCGAUGGCAGAUUAGGUAGUUGGUGGGAUAAAAGCUUACCAAGCCGACGAUCUGUAGCUGGUCUGAGAGGAUGAUCAGCCACACUGGGACUGAGACACGGCCCAGACUCCUACGGGAGGCAGCAGUGGGGAAUUUUGGACAAUGGGCGAAAGCCUGAUCCAGCCAUGCCGCGUGCAGGAUGAAGGCCUUCGGGUUGUAAACUGCUUUUGUACGGAACGAAAAGCCUCUUUCUAAUAAAGAGGGGUCAUGACGGUACCGUAAGAAUAAGCACCGGCUAACUACGUGCCACCAGCCGCGGUAAUACGUANGGUGCAAGCGUUAAUCGGAAUUACUGGGCGUAAAGCGUGCGCACGCUGUUUUGUAAGACAGAGGUGAAAUCCCCGGGCUCAACCUGGGAACUGCCUUUGUGACUGCAAGGCUGGAGUGCGGCAGAGGGGGAUGGAAUUCCGCGUGUAG
This 621-nucleotide ribosomal RNA is filed under the name uncultured bacterium. RNAcentral's name for it is "bacterial SSU rRNA". It matches the Rfam family "Bacterial small subunit ribosomal RNA", at positions 60 to 678 of the family's 1533-position model. The record is from RNAcentral.